ACCGUGAUUGCUCAGCUGGUGGAGCAUCUGCCCGGUAAGCGGCUGGUCACCGAUUUGAUUCCGGCUCGCGGUG
This 73-nucleotide transfer RNA is filed under the name Fasciola gigantica. It matches the Rfam family "tRNA". From Rfam's summary of the family: Transfer RNA (tRNA) molecules are approximately 80 nucleotides in length. Lineage: Eukaryota; Metazoa; Platyhelminthes; Trematoda; Plagiorchiida; Fasciolidae. The record is from Rfam by way of RNAcentral.